This 507-nucleotide ribosomal RNA is filed under the name uncultured Glomeromycotina. Its description in RNAcentral is "partial small subunit ribosomal RNA". It matches the Rfam family "Eukaryotic small subunit ribosomal RNA", at positions 591 to 1092 of the family's 1831-position model. Lineage: Eukaryota; Fungi; Glomeromycota. The record is from RNAcentral.
CCAAUAGCGUAUAUUAAAGUUGUUGCAGUUAAAAAGCUCGUAGUUGAAUUUCGGGAUUGACACAUCGGUCGUGCCUUAAGGGGUGUGAACUGGUGUAGUCAAUUUCUCACCUUCUGGAGAACCGCGAUGUCCUUAAUUGGGUGCCGCGAGGAACCAGGACCUUUACUUUGAAAAAAUUAGAGUGUUUAAAGCAGGCAUUUUUGCUUGAAUACAUUAGAAUGGAAUAAUAAAAUAGGACGGAAUGAUUCUAUUUUGUUGGUUUCUAGGAUCACCGUAAUGAUUAAUAGGGAUAGUUGGGGGCAUUAGUAUUCAAUUGUCAGAGGUGAAAUUCUUGGAUUUAUUGAAGACUAACUACUGCGAAAGCAUUUGCCAAGGAUGUUUUCAUUAAUCAAGAACGAAAGUUAGGGGAUCGAAGACGAUCAGAUACCGUCGUAGUCUUAACCAUAAACUAUGCCGACUAGGAAUCAGACGAUGUUAAUUUUUUAAUGACUCGUUUGGCACCUUACG